RNAcentral lists this ribosomal RNA (140 nucleotides) under uncultured bacterium. RNAcentral's name for it is "partial 16S ribosomal RNA". It matches the Rfam family "Bacterial small subunit ribosomal RNA", at positions 355 to 507 of the family's 1533-position model. The record is from RNAcentral.
UGGGGAAUAUUGGGCAAUGGACGCAAGUCUGACCCAGCGACGCCGCGUGCGGGAUGAAGGCCUUCGGGUUGUAAACCGCUUUCAGUAGGGAAGAAGCGAAAGUGACGGUACCUACAAAAGAAGCACCGGCUAACUACGUG